This is an RNA transcript of Onthophagus taurus, 1039 nucleotides long. It is a transcript of the gene named mitochondrial import inner membrane translocase subunit Tim21, with no coding region annotated. NCBI's taxonomy places the organism in Eukaryota, Metazoa, Arthropoda, Insecta, Coleoptera, Scarabaeidae. The record is from RefSeq and is a predicted model, not a curated record.
UUUCGUUUAGUCAAGUGACAGGUAAAAUUUUUAGGUUAUGUUUUUAAUCAUACGAAAAAAUUUAUAAAAGAAAUUUACAAAAAAAUGCUUUCAAAAGUCAUCAAUCCAUUAUUAUUAUUAAAACGUCGUCAGAUUUUAUAUCCAUUAAUUACAAGACUAAAAACUACUAAAGCCGUCACAACUUCAACAAGAACCGCUUUAGAUACAAAUGUAAAACCGUUAGGAGAAAAAGUGAAAGAAACGACGAAAACUGCCUCUUAUCUAGGUGUUAUAUUAUUAGGAGUCGGUGUAACCGGUACUUUAUUUUAUGCGGUGUUUCAAGAACUAUUCUCUAGCAAAAGUCCAAAUAACAUAUACACGCAAGCUGUUAAAAAGUGUUUGGCUGAUAAUCGUGUUGAAGAUAAGUUAGGUUCGCCUAUUACUGCUUAUGGGGAAGAAACUAGAAGGGGUAGAAGACAACAUGUUACACAUUUAGAAUAUAUUAAAGAUGGAAAAAAGUAUAUGAGGAUGAAAUUUUAUUUAAAAGGAACGUUCCAUAAAGGAACAGUUAAUUUAGAAAUGAUGGAGAAUGAUAAAGGAAAAUAUGAUUAUCGAUAUUUGUUUAUUGAAGUAAAUGAUUUACUUCAAACAAAAAUUGUGUUGGAAGAUAAUGUGAAUAAAAAACCGCCUUUACCAGCUUUUUCAUUUGAAUAAAGGUAUUAAAUAUUAAAUUGUAAAUGUAUUUUGGAGGUUAUUAUUUGAGGAUACAAAUUUUAUUAUAUACUGGGUGUCCAAAUAAGGGUAAGGAGCAGUUGUAUCUCAGCAAUGGUAAGGCUUAGAGGUUUGAGAAAAAAGUCCUUAUCAGCAAAGUGGGCAAAAGAAAUAGUUGGAAAUUAUUUUAAAGUUUGUAAUUCAAUCGCUAGUGGGCGUAACUGCCAUAAAGAAACAUAAAAUUCCUACUAUCUUAGAAAAUUAGAUGAUAAACUAUAACUUUGACAAUAUCAUUUAAUAACUUACAUAAUACAGCAUCAUUUAGCUUUGCGACAUUUUUCAUAUCUGU